This 466-nucleotide ribosomal RNA is filed under the name uncultured bacterium. RNAcentral describes it as "bacterial SSU rRNA". It matches the Rfam family "Bacterial small subunit ribosomal RNA", at positions 329 to 792 of the family's 1533-position model. The record is from RNAcentral.
UUCCAGACUCCUACGGGAGGCAGCAGUGAGGAAUAUUGGUCAAUGGGCGCGAGCCUGAACCAGCCAAGUAGCGUGAAGGAUGACUGCCCUACGGGUUGUAAACUUCUUUUAUAAAGGAAUAAAGUGAGGCACGUGUGCCUUUUUGUAUGUACUUUAUGAAUAAGGAUCGGCUAACUCCGUGCCAGCAGCCGCGGUAAUACGGAGGAUCCGAGCGUUAUCCGGAUUUAUUGGGUUUAAAGGGAGCGUAGGCCGGCUUUUAAGUCAGCUGUGAAAGUCCGCGGCUCAACCGUGGAAUUGCAGUUGAAACUGGAGGCCUUGAGUGCACACAGGGAUGCCGGAAUUCAUGGUGUAGCGGUGAAAUGCUUAGAUAUCAUGAAGAACUCCGAUCGCGAAGGCAAGUGUCCGGGGUGCAACUGACGCUGAGGCUCGAAAGUGCGGGUAUCAAACAGGAUUAGAUACCCGAGUA